GGAGGUAGUGACAAUAAAUCUCAAUACGAAGCCUUUGGUUUUGUAAUUGAAUUGAGAACAAUGUACAAUCGUUAUCGAUAAACAAUUGGAGGGCAAGUCUGGUGCCAGCAGCCGCGGUAAUUCCAGCUCCAAUAGCGUAUAUUAACGUUGUUGCAGUUAAAAAGCUCGUAGUUGAAGUUUAGAUGGUUUGAAGGGGGUGUUAGUAUUCGUACUAUCUGCUCUCUUUGGAUUAUCGACUUCCAGGUAAGCUCAAUAAUCCCUCCGGGGACUAUUAAGCCAGACUGGUCUUUUACUGUGAGAAAAUUAGAGUGUUUAAAGCAGACUUUAUUUAGUUUGAAUAGAUUAGCAUGGAAUAAUAAGAUUGGCUUUCAUAGUCGAUUUUUUGGUUUGUUUAUGAAAGCAAGAUUAAUAGGGACAGUUGGGGGUAUUCAUAUUCAAUAGCUAGAGGUGAAAUUCUAUGAUUUAUGGAAGAUGAACAAGUGCGAAAGCA
RNAcentral lists this ribosomal RNA (490 nucleotides) under Blastocystis sp. RNAcentral's name for it is "SSU rRNA". It matches the Rfam family "Eukaryotic small subunit ribosomal RNA", at positions 460 to 953 of the family's 1831-position model. Lineage: Eukaryota; Bigyra; Opalinata; Blastocystidae. The record is from RNAcentral.